UAGGGAAUCUUCCGCAAUGGGCGAAAGCCUGACGGAGCAACGCCGCGUGAGUGAUGAAGGUCUUCGGAUCGUAAAACUCUGUUAUUAGGGAAGAACAAAUGUGUAAGUAACUAUGCACGUCUUGACGGUACCUAAUCAGAAAGCCACGGCUAACUACGUGCCAGCAGCCGCGGUAAUACGUAGGUGGCAAGCGUUAUUCGGAAUUAUUGGGCGUAAAGCGCGCGUAGGCGGUUUUUUAAGUCUGAUGUGAAAGCCCACGGCUCAACCGUGGAGGGUCAUUGGAAACUGGAAAACUUGAGUGCAGCAGAGGAAAGUGGAAUUCCAUGUGUAGCGGUGAAAUGCGCAGAGAUAUGGAGGAACACCAGUGGCGAAGGCGACUUUCUGGUCAGUAACUGACGCUGAUGUGCGAAAGCGUGGGGAUCAAACAGG
RNAcentral lists this ribosomal RNA (429 nucleotides) under Actinomycetes bacterium. RNAcentral describes it as "Actinobacteria bacterium partial 16S ribosomal RNA". It matches the Rfam family "Bacterial small subunit ribosomal RNA", at positions 355 to 776 of the family's 1533-position model. Lineage: Bacteria; Bacillati; Actinomycetota; Actinomycetes. The record is from RNAcentral.